This is a long non-coding RNA of Aquila chrysaetos chrysaetos, 993 nucleotides long. RefSeq lists it as uncharacterized. The record is from RefSeq and is a predicted model, not a curated record. The transcript has 2 exons. NCBI's taxonomy places the organism in Eukaryota, Metazoa, Chordata, Aves, Accipitriformes, Accipitridae.
CCGUGUCGCGGCGGUCUCGCUCCGCCGGGAGCCUGAGCGGAGCCGGGCCGCGCCGGCCUCCCCGCCUUCGCCUGGGGCGGGCGGGCAGCCGGCCUGGGCAAGGGCUGGCUUCCUGGCUUCCUUCCUUCCUUCCUGCUGCCCGGGCCCGCGGCCUUCGGCGGCGCAGGGAGCGAGGGACGGCCGGGCCUGGCGGCGGGACUCCCGCCUGCCCUGCUGAGGCGCAGGGAGCGGCUCCCUCCGCGGGUUGAAGGCGGCCCCUCUCCGGAACUGUCACCAGACCGUGGCGGUCGUCCGCGUCUGCAGCUCGCAGCCGCCUCCCGGGGACGUGUUAACACGCCCUCCGUUAAAACAGCUGUCAGAAGGUAAAACUCAGGCUGUUGCUGCCAUCUUGAAAACUUCAUUUCCAGCAGUUAAACAAGCAAGCGCAUAGAAGUAGAAGCAAUCCAUACUGGGGUUUGCUGUCAGUAAGGCAAAACUACCAGUUUUACGGUAUUUUUGCAAAAUCCUUUUGCUUGACGUGCCUUGUUAAUGCAAUCGUACUUCAACUAUUAACCGCAAUGAUACCUAUUUUACAGUGCUAGCAUUCCCAGCUUUUCAAUAAACACACUGGAUAGUAAAGGUUCUGCUGAGAACAUUUAAAAAAAUAAAGGACUAGUCACUGUUCUUACCUGGUGACAGGGCUGCUUUCUGUAGAGCUGGCUGUUAAAAUCACAGCCAGUCCCCAGACGGGUUGUCAGAAAACACCCAACCAGCUCCGCUCCCUGCCACUGCUGUGAAGGAUGCUUCUACCCAGUGAAAGCUCCUUUAGACUCGGCCUCACCAUCCAGCCCUGCAGACCUGAUCGCUGGUAAUUGGCAGCACUCCUCUGCUCACAACCCAAAUCCUUCUGUGGUGUUAUUCCCACCCCAAGAAGCCUUUGUUUCCUGUAGCGCCUUUGAAUUUCUCAAAGCCGGCUGCGUACCUCUGGAUUAAACAUCUGAAAUACAAAGUAAA